Molecule: long non-coding RNA, 3651 nt
Organism: Cephus cinctus (wheat stem sawfly)
Lineage: Eukaryota; Metazoa; Arthropoda; Insecta; Hymenoptera; Cephidae
Exons: 4
Source: RefSeq, a predicted model, not a curated record
AGUAGAGUCCCUCUAGUAAGAGUCCGGCCAACGGUGGGCCUUGUUAGUGAUUGGCUCCGCCAUAUUAUGGGCUCUUUCCGGAAUAAAAUGGUGUGUGAAUACGUAUAUGGGAGAGAUUCGCAUUGUGUAGUGUGGGUAGUGUCAAGCCCUGUACGGCGAGUUGUCUGUAGUUGGCGCGAGACUAGACCGAGUCUCGCGCAAUGUCAUGGUGGCGCCAAACAAGCCCUUAAUAUGGCGUCCCUUCCGGGUGUUGGCCGGACUCUUACUAGAGGGACUCUACUUCAGAGAUAAAAUUCUACUGUGAUUUUCAUGCUACUUGAAGAAACUACUCCGAUGAUCGAUAAAGGUUGUCUCCUGCUUUCAAAUACAUUUUCAAAUACAUUUCUCCGGCUUACAUCCAAAGAGCCCUAAGUGUAGUUAAUCAAUUUCACACGGUACAUUUAAAUAAUACCUUCAUCCAUUUAACGUGCAUAUAUCUAAAGUAUUCAAAUUAAACACAUAUUUCCUUGCAGAAUUAAGUGGUUACAGAGUCGAUUGAAUAUCCAUGAUUCCUCGUUUAUCGUAUCACCCAUGAACGGAUGACAAAUCGUCAUAACCAUCAAUCCCAGUUGCAUUUUACAUAACCACAUGGAGAACUCGUUUUGUAUAAUUUUUACGAAACUCUAAGACUGAAGUGCGGCUCCUUCUUCCUGCAAUACUAACCAGGACUUCAUAUCAACUGACUGAUCUAGAAUAUACUGGAUUACUGAAAGACAUUUUCGUUUCGUAAUGAUAAGUCCAAUAACAAAAAGAUCUAAAAGUUGAUCUCAAUGACGUAUUCCUUAAAAUAUCAUCUAGAAAAAUCACGUUUGUCCCAAUUAAUAAAUAGAAAUACUCAAUAUAAACGCAAUCUGAUAACACGUAGUGUCUGCAAAGGAUCUUCAUCGAUGAAUUAUCUGAUUCAGAUCAAAGCCAUAGACAUAGCAAUAAAAAAUUAAUUAUUAAAUUCAACCAGAACAUCCAAUUUACUACGUAAUGUCAAAGUCUGCUCGUACAAUAACAUUUUUUAAAUGUUCUUUAACGUAUAACAUUAAAAACGCAAUCAUUAUCAAAAAAAGAUUCAAAUUGAACAAAAUACCCAGUGACUACCAGCUAUUAAUCAAAACGUCUUAAGACACAUUCGGACUUUGCCAUACAGCAUAAAUUUCAAACUGUCAGACUAGCCAAAACAUUGAAACGUAUAAUUAUAUAAUCCAUAGCGUCUACAACAAAUUUUUAGAAUCGUAAUCUUGAGGGGUUUAAGAGCUACUAGAUAAAGACAAGGUGACUCCGCACGCGUCUUAAAUAUAUAACGAAUUUGUUUUGAAUUCCAAUGACCGCGAGCCCCCAACCUAAUAAUUUUUAAUUUGUUAAGCAAUAUCUUAAUCUCGUCUCGCCUUAAAUCCGGAGGCACGUACUUCAAUGAUAUACGAUUAAUUUACUCCACUGGAUAACCUCCUAGUCUAAUUUUAAAUGACAGACGCACCAAUAUUACAUCCACAUAAUAUCCAUACAUCCGACAAUCACAUAGCAAAUGGAAAAUCAUGAGAACCGAUGUGUAUUCGUAAUACUUUUGACCUAUAACGAAACUCUAACUGGAUCGAACCGGAUCCAAGUACUCUUAGUCGGCAUAGAAAUGUUGUUUUCCAAGGUAGAGAGGUUAGCUACUGGCAUUAGGGUGUUAGAUAUACUUUUCAUACUGUCUACAUGUAUACUUUUUUUGAUACCGUACUCGCUCGCUGCACCAGUGCAACUCUGCAGUUCUGUGUUUAUCCAACCGGAACACGGUUAACUGGUUUAUACUGGAUUUUCCUCGAUUUUAUUACGGACAUUUAUUCAUACUUCAUUACACGCUACUAUUUCAUUCGAAACUUUCGACCUAACGAUAUUGCAUCGAUUUUACAAUAAUUAUGAACUAGCAAAGACAUUUCAUUAGAAUCAGGUCUACGGACUUGGGUGAACCCUGAUCUUAUUUUCUUUGGAAAUAUUCAGGCUGUAUUAAUAUAUAUGUAUACUGUGGCAAUACGAUAUCAAGGGGACAGAGUGUUCCGUGACACUGUACCCUGGACUAAUGACGAGGAGAUGCCUUUGGAUAUGUAUAGUAUAAUGAAAACUAUCUCUUAAUUAAACGACCGACGGUCGCGAUCUUUUUGACCCGCGUAAUUCUCGGAAACUAAGGAAGUUUCGUAUGCUCUGAAUUAUCGUCGUCUUACGUAUAAAUAAUAUGAAAUUAUUUUAGGGCUUGGUUCACGUGCUAUCGGCGACGCCAAAUUUAUAGAGACACUGGUAAAGUUUUGGUAUCGUUAUCAUUGCGCUAUUCUUACUAAUUAAAAGAGAAGAUCAUCGGGCAUCCAAUUACUUUUGUGUGUAUGUUAUUCGAAAUUAUUGUGACUUAAUUAAAAUGAUCUCGGCUUUGGAAAUUUUUUAUUCGUCUUCUAAUCACACGAAGCGGAUGGUUUUUCUAAUAUUUUGAUUCAAGUUGAAGACACAAGCCUUAUCGUCAAAAUUGAUAGGAUUGAUUAAUGAAAUUUCAGUGUUUUGUCAUUUUUUUAAAAAUUUGAUAAUUAAUUGCAAUACCGGAUAUUGAUUUUAUUUUGAUGAAAAAUAUUACUGAUAAAUAUUAUUAGGAUUACAUAGAAUUGGAUGAUAUAUUAUUUGAACGUGAUUGAUUACGAACGGUCGUCGACUUCGGCCGAUACUCGAUAGACGAACUAAAAACAUGAUAACUCCAAUCGAGCCUCUUUGUCGGGCUUGUCAAUGUUUUGACCAAUCAGAAGUACAGUUACUUGCCAAGCCUCCAGCUUAUCAUUCGGUACGUGCUAUCAUUAUCAGAGUGGAAUUUUCAAAAUAUUUGGUAAAAUGCGUGAAAAAAGUAAUAAGAGACCUUGAAAUUUUUUUAACAACUUUAAUAUCAUUUAAAAAAAUUUUCUUAACUUUAAAAAUAUUUUAUCUUUCGACAAUACCAAAUAUAACUGCAGGUAAAAUUGCGAUGUUAUCACGCGUCAAAUAUAUUGCAAAGUAGAAAUGACUAUCAUUCGCAUGACUUUAAUCAGUAUCCAUUACCUGUGUUAUAUGUAUAUAUAUGUAUAAUUAUUAUAUGGCAAUGUUGAUUUUCUUGUCUUAACGAUCAUUUAUUAAUUAAAUCAUUUUGAUAUCUUUUGAUGUUCUCGAUAACAAGGAAUCGAAGGGUUAAGGAAAAUUUAGUCUUUCGAUAUAAAAAUUUCGUAACGUCUCAUUAGACGAAUAGAAAAUGAUAGGAACGUCGAGUCCAAAAAUAUACACAAUAAUUUGAUUAAUUAAACUUCUAAAAUUAUCAGUGUUGUCAUUAUUCCCAAGGAAUAACACGAAAUCGUAUGAAGCAAUAAUCUUUCGCUGCUUAUACAUUUUUCGCUCUAUUGACACUGCACUACGGUGACACUCUCUUGGUGUUACUUAGAUGCAAACAAAUUGAUUGUGUCUGAUAUCGCUUGAAUUAUAAUUAUUGAAACAAAAAAACUCAAGAAUCACGAAAAAUGAUAUAUUAAAUAUCACAAGUAACAAAAUCUUGUUUACCAUAUUCGUAAUUUAAAAAAAUAUAUAAUAAAAAUUAUGAAAUAAAUUUAUAUAUUUUUUUAAAUAUACGUAUCAGUGCAA